CUUGUGUGUUAGUGGAACGGUCUGGAAAGUCCGACGGUACAGGGUGAUAGUCCCGUACACCAAAAUGCACAGGUUGUGAACUCGAAGAGUAGGGCGGGACACGUGGUAUCCUGUCUGAAUAUGGGGGGACCAUCCUCCAAGGCUAAAUACUCCUGACUGACCGAUAGUGAACCAGUACCGUGAGGGAAAGGCGAAAAGAACCCCGGCGAGGGGAGUGAAAAAGAACCUGAAACCGUGUACGUACAAGCAGUGGGAGCACCUUCGGGUGUGACUGCGUACCUUUUGUAUAAUGGGUCAGCGACUUAUAUUCUGUAGCAAGGUUAACCGUAUAGGGGAGCCGCAGGGAAACCGAGUCUUAACUGGGCGUUAAGUUGCAGGGUAUAGACCCGAAACCCGGUGAUCUAGCCAUGGGCAGGUUGAAGGUUGGGUAACACUAACUGGAGGACCGAACCGACUAAUGUUGAAAAAUUAGCGGAUGACUUGUGGCUGGGGGUGAAAGGCCAAUCAAACCGGGAGAUAGCUGGUUCUCCCCGAAAGCUAUUUAGGUAGCGCCUCGUGAACUCAUCUUCGGGGGUAGAGCACUGUUUCGGCUAGGGGGUCAUCCCGACUUACCAACCCGAUGCAAACUACGAAUACCGAAGAAUGUUAUCACGGGAGACACACGGCGGGUGCUAACGUCCGUCGUGAAGAGGGAAACAACCCAGACCGCCAGCUAAGGUCCCAAAGUCAUGGUUAAGUGGGAAACGAUGUGGGAAGGCACAGACAGCCAGGAUGUUGGCUUAGAAGCAGCCAUCAUUUAAAGAAAGCGUAAUAGCUCACUGGUCGAGUCGGCCUGCGCGGAAGAUGUAACGGGGCUAAACCAUGCACCGAAGCUGCGGCAGCGACACUAUGUGUUGUUGGGUAGGGGAGCG
RNAcentral lists this ribosomal RNA (911 nucleotides) under Klebsiella pneumoniae. RNAcentral describes it as "partial 23S ribosomal RNA". It matches the Rfam family "Bacterial large subunit ribosomal RNA", at positions 321 to 1238 of the family's 2925-position model. Lineage: Bacteria; Pseudomonadati; Pseudomonadota; Gammaproteobacteria; Enterobacterales; Enterobacteriaceae. The record is from RNAcentral.